GUGAGCUGGGAAGAGAAGACUUUGGAGGAGACUUGAAGGAGGCACACCAAGCAGGACCUUUGGAACCUGAACUAGAACGUACACCAGUGACUGUCCUGGCUCUCAGAACUUCAUCUUUCCCAGCCUCCAGUCAGCAGAUCCAGGGGACUUGACAGCUUCCAAGAUCAUAGGAAGAAACUGAGUCCAGGAAAGCGAAGUGACUUCCCCAGGGUCAAGUAGCCAAUUUGUGUUCAAGUCAGAAUUGGAUUCAGGAUCUUCUGACUCCAGUGCUCCUGACUCCUUCUAAUAUCCAAGAAAAAGUGAUAUACUUCUGUAUCUUCUAGACAUGCCUGGAAGAGUCCAUUCAUAGAUCUACCCCAUAUCAUGGAAUGGAAACUGAAAAGCUAAAAGUUUCCAUGAAGCAAAGUGAAUAUUCUGAGUAAGUCAUUUUCUCUGAGUCUGGCUGCUGUCACAAACCCUGAAAUCACUUUUAGGGGAAGAGGGAAAUAGGCUUAC
Long non-coding RNA from Talpa occidentalis (Iberian mole), 495 nucleotides. RefSeq lists it as uncharacterized. The transcript is spliced from 4 exons. The record is from RefSeq and is a predicted model, not a curated record. Lineage: Eukaryota; Metazoa; Chordata; Mammalia; Eulipotyphla; Talpidae.